CAGGGAUAUGAUGUUCACAUUGACCCCCUACAACAUUCAGGACAGGCAUUUGCACUGGGGAAAUGAAGUACUCUGCAUGAGAUGGAACGAGAUAAACAGAGUUUCUACGCUGAAGAACAACUGUGUAGGAGAAAGCAAAGAUCUUUACAUGGAGAUCCAACAGAUCAUGAAUUCUCUGUUCAACUUUCUGAUUGCUGUGCUUCUCCCAAUUUCUUCUGUGUGUAGGAUUUUGCAAGUCCAUUCAGAGACACAGAGCAAAAGUGAAAGGCUGUCUGUCAUUCCUAAGGCCCGGGCAUGGGGAGAGAUAUCCAGUUAUCUUCUGCAUGUAGAAGACAAGCUUUCUCUCCAACAGACCUCAUGGCUAGGAGCUACAGAGCUGCCUGCUCCCGUGGAGGUUGUCUGUGAUGGAGCCUGUGCACUUCCUCUUUUUGAAUAUCUACCCUAAGAGUCAGGCUGGAUGUGGACAGGAGUCCUUACUUAGUUCACUGAAGACCUGAGGCCUACAUGCCUGAGAGAGAAAAGGAAAAAUCUUGGCAGAUUGCUAACAUAUCAAAUGUUAAUGAAUACAGUUCUCUAAUUAGAAAUGUCUGCAAGAACUGAGUAAUAGGAUCUUUUGAAAAAGUGACAGCUUUUAAUUUCUUUUGUUAGUCAAGUUUAUACUUUUCUAUAUUAGAGCUUUUAUCAAAUUGGCAUCAGUCUUUAGGAAUGACAAUAAUACUCAAAAUACAAAUACAGUUUCUUUUGAAAUAAUUGGCUCUAAACUGCUCAGCAUCAAGCAUUUACUGGAUUUAAUUGUGAAUUGGCUUAAUAUUAAUUAAAAUAACUCCCAUCCUCAGUGUGAAGUUUCAGGAGAUGCAGAUGUUUUCUUCUGUGUGCCCACCUCUAUUUUAUACCAACCCCCCAAAGCAGAACAAAAUGCUGAAGAUCCAGAACAGCACAUAAACAUUAUGUGGCCCUUGAAGUCAUAUAAAAGAGCCUGAAAGAGAUGGUUUCUUUCAUUCUUGGCCAGAAAGCGAUAGACAAACAGGUAAAAAGGCAAGGAGAAAAAUACCAUUUACUCACUGUAGCAGCAGGAAAUUCAAGCAAAGAAAAUAAACAGGGUUUGAAUUCUGGGCCUUUAACCUGU
Molecule: long non-coding RNA, 1126 nt
Filed under: Dromaius novaehollandiae (emu)
Lineage: Eukaryota; Metazoa; Chordata; Aves; Casuariiformes; Dromaiidae
Description: lncRNA (ENSDNVG00000016814.1)
Source: RNAcentral